UACGAAGGGUGCAAACGUUGCUCGGAAUUAUUGGGCGUAAAGCGCACGUAGGCGGCUUUGCAAGUCGGAUGUGAAAUCCCUCGGCUCAACCAAGGAAGUGCAUCCGAAACUGCAGAGCUUGAGUACUUAAGAGGAUCGCGGAAUUCCCGGUGUAGAGGUGAAAUUCGUAGAUAUCGGGAGGAACACCAGAGGCGAAGGCGGCGAACUGGACAGUUACUGACACUCAACUGCGAAAGCGUGGGGAGCGAACAGG
This 253-nucleotide ribosomal RNA is filed under the name uncultured bacterium. RNAcentral describes it as "partial 16S ribosomal RNA". It matches the Rfam family "Bacterial small subunit ribosomal RNA", at positions 524 to 776 of the family's 1533-position model. The record is from RNAcentral.